GAGUUUGAUCUUGGCUCAGAUUGAACGCUGGCGGCAUGCCUUACACAUGCAAGUCGAACGGCAGCAUGAUCUAGCUUGCUAGAUUGAUGGCGAGUGGCGAACGGGUGAGUAAUACAUCGGAACGUGCCCUGUAGUGGGGGAUAACUAGUCGAAAGAUUAGCUAAUACCGCAUACGACCUGAGGGUGAAAGUGGGGGACCGCAAGGCCUCAUGCUAUAGGAGCGGCCGAUGUCUGAUUAGCUAGUUGGUGGGUAAAGGCCCGACCAAGGCGACGAUCAGUAGCCGGUCUGAGAGGACGAUCAGCCACACUGGGACUGAGACACGGCCCAGACUCCUACGGGAGGCAGCAGUGGGGAAUUUUGGACAAU
Molecule: ribosomal RNA, 367 nt
Filed under: uncultured microorganism
Description: bacterial SSU rRNA
Rfam family: Bacterial small subunit ribosomal RNA
Source: RNAcentral